This 468-nucleotide ribosomal RNA is filed under the name uncultured bacterium. RNAcentral describes it as "partial 16S ribosomal RNA". It matches the Rfam family "Bacterial small subunit ribosomal RNA", at positions 28 to 507 of the family's 1533-position model. The record is from RNAcentral.
GACGAACGCUGGCGGCGUGCUUAACACAUGCCAGUCGAACGGAAAGGCCCUGCUUUUGUGGGGUGUUCGAGUGGCGAACGGGUGAGUAACACGUGAGUAACCUGCCCUUGACUUUGGGAUAACUUCAGGAAACUGGGGCUAAUACCGGAUAGGAGCUCCUGCUGCAUGGUGGGGGUUGGAAAGUUUCGGCGGUUGGGGAUGGACUCGCGGCUUAUCAGCUUGUUGGUGGGGUAGUGGCUUACCAAGGCUUUGACGGGUAGCCGGCCUGAGAGGGUGACCGGCCACAUUGGGACUGAGAUACGGCCCAGACUCCUACGGGAGGCAGCAGUGGGGAAUAUUGCACAAUGGGCGGAAGCCUGAUGCAGCAACGCCGCGUGCGGGAUGACGGCCUUCGGGUUGUAAACCGCUUUCGCCUGUGACGAAGCGUGAGUGACGGUAAUGGGUAAAGAAGCACCGGCUAACUACGUG